Molecule: small nuclear RNA, 63 nt
Organism: Colobus angolensis palliatus
Lineage: Eukaryota; Metazoa; Chordata; Mammalia; Primates; Cercopithecidae
Gene: U7
Rfam family: U7 small nuclear RNA
About the family: Animal histone pre-mRNAs are spliced by a different mechanism than nuclear pre-mRNAs and self-splicing introns. This processing involves the U7 snRNP, which contains only one RNA species: U7.
Source: Ensembl
GAUUACUUUUAUGCCUUUUAGAAUUUGUCUAGAAGGCUUUCUGGUUUUUACUGGAAAGCCCUC